CCUACGGGUGGCAGCAGUGAGGAAUAUUGGUCAAUGGUCGGGAGCCUGAACCAGCCAAGUCGCGUGAAGGAAGAAGGUACUUAGUAUUGUAAACUUCUUUUGUCGGGGAACAAAGGCUGAGACGCGUCUCCGGAUGAGUGUACCCGAAGAAAAAGCAUCGGCUAACUCCGUGCCAGCAGCCGCGGUAAUACGGAGGAUGCGAGCGUUAUCCGGAUUUAUUGGGUUUAAAGGGUGCGCAGGCGGGAGGUAAAGUCAGCGGUAAAAGGUCGGGGCUAAACCCCGGCCGGCCGUUGAAACUGGUUGUAGAGAGUUGGAGAGAAGUAUGCGGAAUGCGUGGUGUAGGGGGGAAAGGCAUAGAUA
RNAcentral lists this ribosomal RNA (360 nucleotides) under uncultured bacterium. Its description in RNAcentral is "partial 16S ribosomal RNA". It matches the Rfam family "Bacterial small subunit ribosomal RNA", at positions 338 to 696 of the family's 1533-position model. The record is from RNAcentral.